Molecule: long non-coding RNA, 740 nt
Filed under: Trifolium pratense (red clover)
Lineage: Eukaryota; Viridiplantae; Streptophyta; Magnoliopsida; Fabales; Fabaceae
Description: long non-coding RNA (TPRA_LNC009452)
Source: RNAcentral
UUAAAUACAAAUAUAAGUUAGUAACAACAAUCUAACAAAUAGUUGAAAAACCAUCAAUCUUAACCGACUUAUUUCCUCGCCAGAUUGAUGUGUCUUUCAACAUCAUUGGAAAUUUGUCAGUUUAGAUCAAAUUUAUUAUUCUUUAUUUGCCUUUAUCCUUUGAGGUAUUUACAUAAUGAACACUAUUUUAUUUUCUCUUGCUUCAACUGUUUCUUUAUUGCACAGUUUAUGAAAUGAUUCUAUUAAAGAAUCAUUUCUAACUUUAAUAGUUAUAAGACUAAUUGUGCAAAUAGAACACUAUAUGCUAAAUUUUCGACAAGAUAACUUGAUUGUCAAAAUUAUAUCGCUUUAUCAAGAUUAAAUAGUUACCUAAUGUGCUCUUAAGAUUUUCUUUGCUUAAUAAUCCGAAUGAAAUAUUAUCUCUCCGACGAGAGCUUAUUUUUCGCUUUAUUGCUUUAGAAGCACUUUAAUUUAAGCAAAGAAAACAUGACAAAAAUUAUGUCAUCUUAAAUAAUACCUCAAAUGUCUCUGGAAUUCAAAACUUUAUGAUCAUGACCUAUGUCAUUCGGAGUAUACUCACAUUUUAUACUUGAGUCUCACUUUAAAGUUACCGAAUAGUGAGAGAAUUUGAGUUUUUCCAUCUUGACAUAAGUUUAGAUCCAAGAACACGAUGCUCUUCCUUUAUUUCUAAGCGCUAGAAUUUUAAGAAUUACAAUUCUAACAUGAUUUUGCAGAUACAU